GACGGACUUUAUGCUAAUUUUCCUGUCCUCAAAGGAUGAACUUCAUGAGUGCAACUAGACUGUAGAAGAUGGACAAACCACGUGUGGUCAAAGAAUGAACAAGGAGUCUGGAGUGGCUGGAGGAAAAGAUGUAAAUACUACAGGACUGCAUGACUCAUGGCUGGUUGAAUCCAUGGUUGUGGAACUGCGGAUAUGGAGAAAUUGCAUGUGUAUGGAGGGCUGACUAUAAGUUACAACUAUUUUGGACUCCACAAAGGGUCAGUGUCCC
This is a long non-coding RNA of Hippopotamus amphibius kiboko, 268 nucleotides long. RefSeq lists it as uncharacterized. The transcript is spliced from 3 exons. Lineage: Eukaryota; Metazoa; Chordata; Mammalia; Artiodactyla; Hippopotamidae. The record is from RefSeq and is a predicted model, not a curated record.